GAUGAAGAACGCAGCGAAAUGCGAUAAGUAAUGUGAAUUGCAGAAUUCAGUGAAUCAUCGAAUCUUUGAACGCACAUUGCGCCCCUUGGUAUUCCGAGGGGCAUGCCUGUUCGAGCGUCAUUUGUACCUUCAAGCCUUGCUUGGUGUUGGGUGUUUGUCUCGCCUCUGCGCGCAGACUCGCCUCAAAACAAUUGGCAGCCGGCGUAUUGAUUUCGGAGCGCAGUACAUCUCGCGCUUUGCACUCAGAACGACGACGUCCAAAAGUACAUUUUUACACUCUUGACCUCGGAUCAGGUAGGGAUACCCGCUGAACUUAAGCAUAUCAAUAAGCGGAGGA
RNAcentral lists this unclassified non-coding RNA (337 nucleotides) under soil metagenome. Its description in RNAcentral is "partial contains 5.8S ribosomal RNA, internal transcribed spacer 2, and large subunit ribosomal RNA". The stretch from base 1 to 120 matches the Rfam family "5.8S ribosomal RNA", at positions 35 to 154 of the family's 154-position model. The record is from RNAcentral.